Molecule: long non-coding RNA, 4177 nt
Organism: Onychostoma macrolepis
Lineage: Eukaryota; Metazoa; Chordata; Actinopteri; Cypriniformes; Cyprinidae
Exons: 3
Source: RefSeq, a predicted model, not a curated record
GUUUAUUCCUGGUUCUUCAUUAAUGAUGCUGUGACAUUAAGUGUUUUAAACCUGAAAGAAUUUCAUCAGAUUUUAUGGUUGUUCUCAGUCAGUAUGAAGCCUAUUCAGUCAUUACACUGAAGUAAAUGCAAAGAUAAAUUCUUAUGGAAAUUGGCUUAUUAAUAAUAAUAAUAAUAAUAAUAAUAAUAAUAAAAUAAAUAAAGAUGCUCACUGAUAUUAAAAGUUCUCAAUUACCACACAACAAAUGAGCAGAGCUAAAUAUGACAGGAUUACCACAGCACUUUCUGUUGUACAGUAUCACAAGAAUUUACCAUUAGAUGCCGUAUGUGGUUUUUCUGUUGUUUUUGUGUGGUAAUUACAACACAUUUGAGCAGAGCUAAAUAUGACAGGAUUGCCAUAGCACUUUCUAUAUACCAAUAACUUACUACAAUAAUAUGUGGUAUUUUUGUUGGUUUUGUGUGGUAUUUCCAAAACAAUGACAUCUAACUGGCAGAAAUAUAAUGCUGUAGGAUAGUAUCAAUUACAGUAAUGUGAUCUUUUGAAGGUCUUAAAUAAUAAAAAUAUAUUUUAAAUAUAUAAUAAUAAUAAUAAUAAUAUGUAUGUAAAAUAAUAAAAAUAUAUUUUAACAGUUGAUGACAGCUUGGCAUUUUAUCAUACAUUAAUUCAGAUCUUAUAGUAGCUAUGAGAUAUGGAUUACCACAGCUUUUUUGUGUGUGUGUGUGGUAAUACCAAAGUAUUGGAGUAGAGCUAAUUAUGACAGGAUUGCACAGCACUUUCUAUAUGAUAUAUAUUUACUGUAAAAAAUACAGUCUGUGGUAAUUUGUGUGUGUGUGUGUGUGUGUGUACUGGUUUUUGUGGUUUACGGGGACAAAAAUUGUAUAAUGACAUGGGUAUGACAGAGGUAUUACAAUUUGAAGGUGGUUUAUGAGGACACUGCCUAUGUCCCCGUAAUUCAAAAGGCUUUAAAAACAUACUAAAUGGUGUUUUUUUUUUAAUCUAAAAAUGCACAAAGUUUCCUGUAAGGGGUAGGGUUAGGUGUAGGGUUGGUGUAGGGCAAUAACACAUACAGUUUGUACAGUAUAAAAACCAUUACGCCUAUGGAGAGCAGGAAUUGAAGGUGGGGAUUGUGAAUGAACAGCACUCUCUCCACCUUUGAUACCAUGACUAAGAUGCCCUAUUGCUCCCCGGGCGCUGGAGCAAUGGCUGCCCACUGCUCCGGGUGUGUGUUCACUGUGUGUGUGUGUGUGUGUGUGUGUGUGCAUUUGUUCACUACUCGCUGUUGUGUGUGUGCACUUGGAUGGGUUAAAUGCAGAGCACCAAUUUCGAGUAUGGGUCACCAUACUUGACAAUACGUCACGAUUUAACCUCUUAACUGACUAUAUACCUCAUUAUAAAGGCCUUAAUUGCAGCUGUCACAUUCUGAACUCUCUCUCCUCGCUUUAUUUUCUGUCAUUCCUUCCUCCUGUCCCCCAGAACCCUAUCGAAUAGACACUAUUUAGUACAAGGAUUUUCAGCCAACCCAGGGACCCCAAAAUAAAAACAAAAUAAAACCCUAAAUUUUCUUGGUUACUCUUCAAAUAAAAACAAAGAAAACAAAGAAAAUUAAUAAAAUAAAAACAAAAGAAAAUUAAAUUAAAUAUUAUAUGUUAAAGUGAUCUACAUCUCACAAUUUCAUUCAUAAAAAUGUGCUACAUUUAGCGGAGGAUUGCUACCAUGGAAAACAAACACUUUUAAAAUAACAUUAAAUUUACACUAAAGUUACUAGGUGGCUGCAAAUGACCACCCAUUGGUUCAUUUGACAUUUCCAUAAAAAUUUUUUAGACUAUAUAAAAUAUUAAAUACAAAAAUUCACUAAAACUACUAAACCUGUGAUUUUUUUAUUUAUAAUAAUAAUAAUAAUUAUUAUUAUAAAAAUCACAAGUUUAGUACAUUUUUGUACUGAAGAAGAAGUUGCAGUUAUGCCACAUUACAGUCAAACAUGAACUUCUCUUUGUGUAAUGAUGUCACCACAUCUGUGUGUAUUGUGUGAAAUACUCCUAAUACGCACAAGGUUUGAUUUGAUAUAUUAAUCUAAAACAACGAAAAGAGGGGCAUUGCAACUGGGCACAGAAGCCUAAAACACUGCCUGAAUUUGAUGUAAUGAGUAAGUUUUCACUUAAAUCAAAGAAACAAACAAUGUAUAAAUAAAUAAACAAACUUACCCAUGUUAAUCCUUGGUCAAUUCCAGCAUUAUGGACGUGACAUUUGCAGUAAAAACUUGAAAUAUAAAUUAUCAGAGAAUGUAAAUAACAAUAUACUGAAACAUAUGUUUAUAUUUUUCUAAACCCCUAAUCAUAGAGUUUUGAUAUCAGAAAAAAAAACAGUCUAUGCACGUGUUUUAUAUUUUAAAUCGGGCAAAUAUGCAUGCGUUACGGACGUGACAAAAAAGGACUUGAGUUUUUGGGAGUCAACAUACUUUGUAGAAAUUCUGCGAAUUCAAAUGCACAAGCCAAAAUAAAUAAUACCAGCCGAAAGGAUAAGGGUUGUCUCUCCAUGGAACAUAAAUUAUUUAUUUUAUUUUGUUUUUCAUUUUUGCAUUUAUGAGGAAAAACCAUUGUUACGGACGUGACGUCUCUCCGUUACGGACGUGACAGAUCUGAAAUUGUCACUUGUCUGACUCUGUCAAAUCAGAUAAAAUGCUUUAAAAACUUUAACCGAGAUCUAUUUCUGGGUCUCUGUUGGGUAUUUAAACCAACAAACAUUUCCCUCUGAGACAUGGUAAGGUUGCGCAAUUAAUAACGUUCAAACUGAAAUCAUCGCGUUGUAUAUUAGCCUGUGUUUGCGCGAGUGUGGUGUUAAAAUGUAACCAGUGCGGAUAUGUUCAAAACUGAAUUCAAUCAUGAUUAUUUGCUAAUGUGGUGUUUACUUUAGACCCCGAAUAAUAUAGAAUUUGCUAAUAUACAUCAUCAGCUGUAAUAAAUGUUUACCAAGUCCCGGAGGUCGCCGCGGUGUCCGCUCAGAACAAGCUUCGGUGAAUUGUCCGCUUGUUAGUGUGUACUGUGUAGGCCUGUGUCUGUGUGAAGAGUGGUAUGCAAAAUACAAUCGUGUCACAAUGAUCGCAAUAGUAUGUUUGAUGGCAAUGUUUAUUCCCAGUUUGCGUUGCUAAAUGCGCAAUCGUGAUUCUAAAUAGCUGCAUUAUGUUUGUCAAAAUAGUUGCAGUGUAAGCCAAUGCUUUAGACUAUAUUAUUUAUAGUCUCUAAAGAUUACUUAAUUAGUAGUUAUGUUUUACCAAGUUUAAUGGCUGGCAUUUGGAUGUUAAGAAGACUAAGACGCAGCAAAACGAUCUGUGUGAAACAGAUGUGCAAAAAAAGGUGAGCAUAAAGUACUUACAGUAUUUUCAUUUAAUGUUUAAUGUGAACAUCUUUAAGAUAUACUUUGAGAUAUUCUCUCACUUUUUGGGAGGCUCCAUUUUUGUUUUUCCUGUAUCUGUAUGUAAAGUUUGCAUUAAAUAAAUCAAUACAUUAAUGAGUCAAUAAAUCUACAUUAUUAUUAUUGUUAUUAUUGUAUUUAUCAUUAUUUUGAUUGUAAUUAUCACCUACCUCUGCUAGCUGGCAGCAACAUGCCACAGUGACAGAAGAGUUUGUCUUAAUUCAUGUUUCUAUAACAACAGCGUUCUCUGAUUGGUGGAUCUCGCUUUGGCGCACUUUCGGAAUUUUGAACGUUUUACGUCACAGCGUUUCUCAACUGCCAUCCGCGAGCUAGUUUUGCAAAGAUGAUGUGUUUCUGUUUAUUUGAUUUUUUCGAGGAGAACAUGGUAGAAAUAGGUCUUUCAAGUUACAUCGACGAAAACAGACAUUCACGUCGAAACCUUAAAUAACGAGGAAUGGGACUUCUCUAAAGAAGUACUCGUUAACUGGCCCACUGGGAGAAACCAGAUGACGCAGUACGUCUCCAGAGUAGUGUACUUUGCUGUCACGCCUGGAUGAAAACCUUCUCAAAGAAAGAGACCGAUUAAUUGGGAGGAUUAAGCCUGGUGCUGGUGUGCCUGGCAAAGAAGAAUUGUAAAGCCAAAAAAAAAAAAAAAACUGACAGAUGAUGUGACAAAUUCCUUUCAGCUCAGCCUUGCCAGCAAAAGUAAGGAAAACUGAAUCAAAACCCGGCCAGCAUUUGAUGCAGCAAUUAAUUAAACAGAGGUCUG